AUCAUUAAGCGGAGGAAAAGAAACCAACGGGGAUUCCCCUAGUAGCGGCGAGUGAAGCGGGAUAAGCCCAGCACCGAAUCCCCAGCCCUGUACGGUCUGAGGGAACUGUGGUGUUUGGGACGUACGAUUCGGCGGGUGGACACGGCGUCUAAGUCUCCUUGAACGGGGCUCCAUCCCACGGCGGGUGCCAGGCCCAUGUCGACGUCAGUCCGCCUGUCUACGUGCGUCCUUGGAGUCGGGUUGCUUGGGAAUGCAGCUCAAAGUGGGUGGUAAACUCCAUCUAAGGCUAAAUACAGGCACGAGUCCGAUAGCGAACAAGUACCGUGAGGGAAAGUU
This 336-nucleotide ribosomal RNA is filed under the name Scoloplos armiger. Its description in RNAcentral is "eukaryotic LSU rRNA". It matches the Rfam family "Eukaryotic large subunit ribosomal RNA", at positions 42 to 365 of the family's 3401-position model. Lineage: Eukaryota; Metazoa; Annelida; Polychaeta; Orbiniidae. The record is from RNAcentral.